Molecule: long non-coding RNA, 6189 nt
Filed under: Marmota monax (woodchuck)
Lineage: Eukaryota; Metazoa; Chordata; Mammalia; Rodentia; Sciuridae
Source: RNAcentral
CCUGUAUCUAAUGUGCUAUUAUCAUUGAUAGUUCUUGUUGGAAAGCCUUAUGCUUUUGAAGCAGUAGUUGCUAUUCUUAAUAAGAAAUGAUAUAUAACAAAAUGGCUAUAUUCUCCUCACUUUUCAGGCUGUAAUAUUUUGCCUUUUACUAAUAUGUAUGCUCAAUUAAUUGCUGAUGGUCAUAUUAAAAUUUUAUCUUUAACAAGCAUGGAUAUUCAUGUUUUGCACCUUAUGAAAAAAACUUUAUAUCUCUAAUACGUACCAUUCAUCCUAUUAUCAAGCUGUAUUAGCUAAAAUUUUAGUGCUCAUUGUGUUUCACCUGCCUCAUGAUGAACAAUUCUCUUUGUUAUAUCAGUUUCCUUAAUUAUAUCCAUUUUCCUUAAUUCCUACUGUUCCUCUUAUAGAUGAAAUAAUGGUGUAAACAAACAGGUAAACAAAGAGGAGUAAUAUCUGUUUUUAUUAAUGGUGAAUGGACUAUUAUACUCUACCUCAAAAUUCUCCACAGUGAGCUGAGUUAGCUACCUUUAUCCUGAUGCUGAAAUUGUUUUCUACUAUUUUAAAUGUUAUUACAAGUUCUCAAUAUAUAGUUAAGCUUGUGCUUCAUAUUUCCAUGGUUGGGUUAUGCCCUCAUUUGGAUUCCAAUUCACUGUCUCUUUUUUAAACCCUUUAAACUCUUUUAUAGCAUCAUGCAUCUCCUAUCUUCCUUGCUCAUAGAUAUAGCCACCCCAAGAUUUCUAAACUUUUGAUGGAGGUUGUCGCUCACACAGAUGAAGAUAUGAAAUCUGCUUAUCCUUUUUUUUUUUCAAAUGCUGUGAAAUCUCAUGGAUUUUUUCAUCAAAAUACUCGGUCACUACUGAAAACAUUUUCCAUAUCUUCUCAAAAGUUUCAUGCUAUAGUUAGCAAUUGUUCCCACUGUGUACACUUAUGAACCCUAUAUAAAAAUUUGUGAACCCAGGCCUACAUUUUAAUGCACAAUGGUAAAUGGAUGUUACUUAUUUCACUCCUUUUUUUCAUGUUUUUAUUACUACCCAUUCUGGAUUUAUUUAAGCUAGUGCCCACAGGUAUAAAAAUGUAUUUGCUUGCAUUUCUCACUUAUUGCUUUGCUUUCCACCAUGGGCAAGCCUGCUUAUUUAGAAAAUGGAUAAUGCCCCUGCGUAUACAUCUUGUGCUUUUGCACAAUUUUGUAAUCAAUGAAAUAUAAUUUUAAAUCAUAAAAUUCCUCAUAAUCCUACUGAACAAACUGGUUAAAUGAGUGCAUCAUACUCUUGAAACUUGCCUUUUAAAACUAAAACAAAAAAGGGGCAAUCUAGCCUCUCUCAUAUUAAUAAUGCUUUAAAUAUUGUUUUAUUUACAGUUAACGUGCUCAAUAUGGAAUGCAAAGUUGAUAUUCACAAUUGGUUGUCUGCUUUGGAUAGACAUUGUAUUCCUAAACAGCCAUUACUAAGAAUUUAUGUAAAAUAUAGGGUUCCACCAGACCCAGGAUGACAAGACCCUAUGCCUCUGACCACAUGGGGAAAAGGAUAGUCUGCUGUGCUCACACCAACAGAUCCUACUUGGACUCCAGCUUCAUGCAUGAGCUCUAUCCAUUGUGAAUGGACAUCGGGAACUUCACACCUUGAUUCCCAAGUUGCAUUUGAUCCUGGAUGAGGAGAGUCCCACCAAACAAGAGGAAACUCUCCUCAAAAGAGAGGAAGCAUUAAAGAAGGACAGAUAAGAGACAUGAAAAGAGGAUCCCAAGCUUCUAGACUUCCAGUGAGUUGGGGACAUAUAAAAUCAUUAACAGCCUCAGCUCUACAGCUGUUGGCUCAAAGGGGCUUAAAAUGUACUCUGGAAAACUUAGUUACUGCUUUGUUUGCUAAACUUACAUCAAACUCUGUAAAUGUUUUGAUCCUUGUGAUAAUGUUAUUCUGCUGUUGUACCCCACUUGUGCGAAACAUAGUUCUAAGUCAGACUCCUGGAGUUUUAGAACCCAUUAUAAUAUUUAGGUUCGCUUGGUGAAAAUUGUUAUAUACCUGCAAGAAUGUCGCAGCAGAUUAACUGUGUUCUCACCAUCCUUGCAGGAUUUAAUGGGCCACCAUCAUGCACAACGUAUUCAUAAAAGGUCUAUUCCCCUUGAUGAAAACUGUGAUGAUUCAGUACAUCGUCUCUCAAAGGCAGAAUUUGACGCUUUGACAUUUUCCAUAGUGGGUUUCCCUGGACUAGCUGUCGGGGCUUACAAAACCACUAUGAACCUGGCCUGUGCUGUGGUAAAAAAAGUACUAAUCCUACCUCUCUGGCCAUUAAUAUGCUUAAUGAAGAACAAAAACAACAUCGCCAAGACAUUCUUGAUAACCAGGCUGCUAUUGAUUAUUUGUUGUUGUUACAUCAUAAAGGAUGUGAGGAUAAAACACAUAAAGGAUGUGUUGCUUCAAUUUAAGCGAUAACAGUAAUUCUAUUUUAAGAGCAUUAAAUUACCUUAAAUAUAUCAUUAGAAGGUCCAGCAAGAUGAUGAAGGUUUAGACUUGUUAGAUUGGUUAACUUCAUGGUUACCCAAUUGCAUCUGGUUCAAACAAUUAUUCAUAGGUGGAAGUUUGCUGCUAUUGGGAUUGUUGUGUUGCACUUGCUGCUUGUCAAUGCCUGCCCUAUAUUUCCCCUUGCUAGGAUUAAGAAGAAAACAGGUAUUUUUCAUCCAGAAGGCCUUAAAAAACAAAGGAGAGCUGUAGGUAUUCAGACCAUGGAAAUAGACAGGAAAACAUUCUCCUGGUGAGCAAACUCCCGGGGAUAACUGGCAGGGUAACUGGUGCCCUGAUUCCCACAAUUGGAAUGCCCAGCCCCCUCCCUCUGAGGGAAUAAGACAACUAUGCAGGCACUAGCUGCUUUUCUUAGCAAUGUCCUUGGAGAGAAGGGGCUCUGUGUUUGUAUUAACCUGGACCUUAUCUCUAUUAGCUAGCACUCAGGUUAAAAAAAAAAUACUAAUUAGAAUACAGUCAUGGUAAUGGGCGGUAUGUGUUCUUUGAGUUAAUAAACUCCCAGGCAGCAGGGAGCGGACCCUUCAUUUCCAGACUUCUUCACCACUUCACUUCACUGCUCUCUGCUCCUCCUGUCUGUCUGCUUACACUUUGUGUAACACUCUUAUGUGCCGCCUCCACAGGUAUUUCUCCACAGGUGUUCCUUUACAGUUAAUUAAUCAAUAAGUUAGAAAAAGACAUCAGAUAAAAAGUUACAUUCUUACUAUUCAACAAAAUUUUACAUUUUUGGGGGGGACUGGGGUUGUGGCUCAGUGGUAGCACCCUCGCCUAGCAUGCAUGAGGCACUGGGUUCGAUCCUCAGCACCACAGAAAAACAAAAUAAUGUGUCCACCUAAAACUAAAGAUACAUAAAUAAAUAAAUGUUUAAAAAAUUUCUACAUUUUUAAAAUCGUCUUUCAAUUUGUUCAAGGUACUUUCCAUCACAUGUCCAGGAGAUAGUGCAAGGAGGGGUGGAGCACAACACCCAUCUCCUUGCAUGUCUUCACAAAUGGAGAUGCUUAACCCUCACCACUUCCCCACUUCCCCAGCCUGCCCAGUAAUUCUGAGGAUACAGCCAACUCCUUCCAAUUAUGAAAUCUUAGCAAGUUAACAUGUCAGCCAGGCAAGCCUGCUUCACAUUUUAUAGUUGGGGUUUCCAUCCUUUUUUUUUUUAACUUUAUAGGAAAUUUCCUUUCCCUAAACAUGAACGUAUGGUUCCUGGAGCACAAAGCUUGCUCAGGAGACCAACAAGAAUAUAUAAUCAGAGAGAAAAAGCUCUCUAUUUAUUCCAUAUUGUUGAUCAAGCCCAGCAAUAGAGAAAGAAAGAACAAUUUUUUUUUUCAGAGAUCUUUAUAGAAAAUGAUAUAGUAAGAAGAAAAUCUGGGGAAAAGUACAUAAAACUGCAUGAAGUUUGACUCUGUAUGAUGAAAUCUAACCAUCAAAGAUGGAACUAGCUGGGAAUUAGAGAUUAUUAAUCAUAUGUUCAAUAUCUUGGAGCUAGGACUGAUAUUUAUAAAUUUUGGAAUUACUCUCAGUGAAUAUAUUCCCUACACAAAAAGUUGAACUGAUGAAUAAAUACAUGGACAAAUGAAUAAGUGAAUAAUUUUUUUCAGGAGGAAUUCCAUGAGAAAUAUCUUACAUGUUGAACUGUUGUUUUCAUAACAUUAAAAUGGUUGUGCUAGAUAAUCUUUUAUCCUUUUGAAGGCCCCGAGAAAAUACAUUUUUUGCCUAUAUUUAGAUGGACAAAAGAAUGAAGAUCAAAAAAUGUUUCAAAAUCACUCACUUAACCAGCAGCAUGAAAACCGCUUUGAUUUCUGGUCACCGGUUGACAAAAACACAUGAAGAGUACAGGAGGGGUAUGGAUCCAAGUGCCACAGUUAAAAAUCAAGUUAGUAUAAAAGUUUAUAAGAAAAAGCAAAAUAUAGGAAUCAAUUUUAAGUAAUAACCAAUCUUAGAACAGAGAAGAAUGAAGAGGGAAGUAGAAAAAUAAUUUGCAACCAAAAGUAGAAAUCAGCUGAAUCACCUGAUGCCUGGUACAUUGGGCAGGAUGCUUUCAGUCACCAACAAGAGGACACCAUCAUAAUGAGCUGAAAAUACUAAGGGAAAUUUUAUUGGGUGACAUGACUGAGAAUUUCAGGGAUCAUUCAGGCUUUGGAUACUGUUUAAUCUAAACUCUUCUGUGAGUCUAUUGUCAUUACAUUCUUGACUAUUUGAUUAAUACAUAGACUUGCUGUUCCGGAGUUGAAAAAAUAAUUUGAGCUGGUUUAAGCUUUAUAUCCUACAUGAUAACAUUCAGAAAAAAAGAGAGUAUCACUUUCCCCUUACUAACAUCACAGAUUUAGGCUCCUUAUAAACCGAGCCAGCUUAGGACAGGUACAUACCCAGACUCAUUUAUCUAACAAAGGUAAGUGGAAACUAUAGAAUGACUACCUUGAAUGAUACGUUGCCUGUACAUUCUUUAGCUUAUCACUUUCUCAAGGAUGAGUUCUCAAGAUUGUCUUAGGCUGAUCACUGCAGUUGAGAGUGGAGUUAAUCGACCCCAUGGCUGCCAUGCAAAUGUGGUAAAAAGAAUGGGAAGCUAGACAGACUGGAGCCAGUCAUGUCUGUUCCAAGUAGAAAGUCUGAAGUGUCCCAAUGUUUGAUUGCCCCCUUCUCCUGCUUUUCAUGUUUGCCUUUUCUCUCAUGACAACUUCACUUCCCAAAAGUUUAACUAUAUUUUGGAUCUACUCUCAGUGCAUAUGUUUGCUAUGCAAAUAGUAAAAAAUUGAAUUGUGAUGAAUGAAUGGAUGGAUGGAUUAAUUUUUCAGGAGAAAAAAGACAUAGGAAAAUAUCUUACAUGGCCUGGUCUCUCUGGAUAUUCCCCUUGCCCUGGGUCCCCUCUUCUCAGUUCCCUAAGCAACACGAGGCUAAGUCCCUUUUUCCAAGUUGAGCUCAAGUAAGUUGCUCAAUGAGAAACCUAAGAAAGGCCAAAAAAUAAUAAAGAGCAGAAUUCAAUUUUUUAAAGAAUAUUUUCAAGCUCAUACUUUUUUGUGUGUGUGUGUGUGUGUGUGUGUGUGUGUGUGUGGUGCUGGAGAAUGAACCCAGGGCCUUGUCCAUGAGAGGCAAGCACUCUACCAACUGAGCUACUGAGCUAUAUACCCAGGCCCAGUGAUGAUCUUUUUUUUUCUCCAUUAUUUUAUACUCAAUAUGCACCUGCUGCAUAAUAAGUAUAUAGUAGGUGCCUAGGAGCUGUUGAAUCCAUUUAGGAAUUUUAAAGAAAUUGAAGUUAAUCAUGGAUAUCUUGACUCACACUGUCAUUAAGUCCACCUUCAUAAUCAAGAUUUCUGUAUUUGCUAACUUGUCUAUUUAUUGAUCUUCACUUGUAACCCCAAAUCAAUACUCAGUUUUUUAUGGAUCUGUGCACUGUGGUGCGACACUUGAGUCACAUGAAGGUCAUGCUCCUUGGGCCCGAGAGUUGGGAAGUGGCCUACGUUGCCUAUGUGAGAGGCUCUCAGGGUUCAGCACACUGAAUCUGGAAGUUGUGGUGAGCACACUAACCACACUCAGCCCCAUCUCCAUGGUAACCUGGCCUCUCUCAGGUGCACAGCAUGUUCUUUGCCUUCUGCUUUUCUGCCACUGACCUACUAAUGCAUUGGUUACUGCUUGUAAGUAUGUUUCUGGCUCUUUGGAUCAUUAUGACCCUCAGAUAAAUCUGUCCAGUGAC